Molecule: ribosomal RNA, 425 nt
Filed under: uncultured bacterium
Lineage: Bacteria
Description: partial 16S ribosomal RNA
Rfam family: Bacterial small subunit ribosomal RNA
Source: RNAcentral
GUGGGGAAUCUUAGACAAUGGGGGAAACCCUGAUCUAGCCAUGCCGCGUGAGCGAUGAAGGCCUUAUGGUUGUAAAGCUCUUUCAGCUGGGAAGAUAAUGACGGUACCAGCAGAAGAAGCCCCGGCUAACUCCGUGCCAGCAGCCGCGGUCAUACGGAGGGGGCUAGCGUUGUUCGGAAUUACUGGGCGUAAAGCGCGCGUAGGCGGACCAGAAAGUUGGAGGUGAAAUCCCAGGGCUCAACCUUGGAACUGCCUUCAAAACUCCUGGUCUGGAGUUCGAGAGAGGUGAGUGGAAUUCCGAGUGUAGAGGUGAAAUUCGUAGAUAUUCGGAGGAACACCAGUGGCGAAGGCGGCUCACUGGCUCGAUACUGACGCUGAGGUGCGAAAGCGUGGGGAGCAAACAGGAUUAGAAACCCGUGUAGUCC